GCCGAGUGUGGAGGCGCACACCUGUAAUCCCAGCUACUCAGGAGGCUGAGGCAGGAGAAUCGCUUGAACCCGGGAGAUGGAGGCUGCAGUGAGUCAAGAUCACACCACUGCACCCAGCCUGGGUGACAGAGUGAGACUCUGUCUCAA
Callithrix jacchus (white-tufted-ear marmoset) is the source of this 147-nucleotide unclassified non-coding RNA. It matches the Rfam family "Metazoan signal recognition particle RNA". Rfam says of the family: The signal recognition particle (SRP) is a universally conserved ribonucleoprotein. It is involved in the co-translational targeting of proteins to membranes. The eukaryotic SRP consists of a 300-nucleotide 7S RNA and six proteins: SRPs 72, 68, 54, 19, 14, and 9. Lineage: Eukaryota; Metazoa; Chordata; Mammalia; Primates; Cebidae. The record is from Ensembl.